Molecule: ribosomal RNA, 960 nt
Filed under: Pseudomonas tolaasii
Lineage: Bacteria; Pseudomonadati; Pseudomonadota; Gammaproteobacteria; Pseudomonadales; Pseudomonadaceae
Description: bacterial SSU rRNA
Rfam family: Bacterial small subunit ribosomal RNA
Source: RNAcentral
CUUAUGCGGCGGCCUACCAUGCAAGUCGAGCGGUAGAGAGAAGCUUGCUUCUCUUGAGAGCGGCGGACGGGUGAGUAAUGCCUAGGAAUCUGCCUGGUAGUGGGGGAUAACGUCCGGAAACGGACGCUAAUACCGCAUACGUCCUACGGGAGAAAGCAGGGGACCUUCGGGCCUUGCGCUAUCAGAUGAGCCUAGGUCGGAUUAGCUAGUUGGUGAGGUAAUGGCUCACCAAGGCGACGAUCCGUAACUGGUCUGAGAGGAUGAUCAGUCACACUGGAACUGAGACACGGUCCAGACUCCUACGGGAGGCAGCAGUGGGGAAUAUUGGACAAUGGGCGAAAGCCUGAUCCAGCCAUGCCGCGUGUGUGAAGAAGGUCUUCGGAUUGUAAAGCACUUUAAGUUGGGAGGAAGGGCAGUUGCCUAAUACGUAACUGUKYUGACGUUACCGACAGAAWUAAAGCACCGGGCUAACUCUGUGCCAGCAGCCGCGGUAAUACAGAGGGUGCAAGCGUUAAUCGGAAUUACUGGGCGUAAAGCGCGCGUAGGUGGUUUGUUAAGUUGGAUGUGAAAUCCCCGGGCUCAACCUGGGAACUGCAUUCAAAACUGACUGACUAGAGUAUGGUAGAGGGUGGUGGAAUUUCCUGUGUAGCGGUGAAAUGCGUAGAUAUAGGAAGGAACACCAGUGGCGAAGGCGACCACCUGGACUGAUACUGACACUGAGGUGCGAAAGCGUGGGGAGCAAACAGGAUUAGAUACCCUGGUAGUCCACGCCGUAAACGAUGUCAACUAGCCGUUGGAAGCCUUGAGCUUUUAGUGGCGCAGCUAACGCAUUAAGUUGACCGCCUGGGGAGUACGGCCGCAAGGUUAAAACUCAAAUGAAUUGACGGGGGCCCGCACAAGCGGUGGAGCAUGUGGUUUAWUUCGAAGCAACGCGARRMMYCUUACCAGGCCUUGACAUCC